RNAcentral lists this transfer RNA (76 nucleotides) under Escherichia coli. Its description in RNAcentral is "tRNA-Asn". It matches the Rfam family "tRNA". Rfam says of the family: Transfer RNA (tRNA) molecules are approximately 80 nucleotides in length. Their secondary structure includes four short double-helical elements and three loops (D, anti-codon, and T loops). Lineage: Bacteria; Pseudomonadati; Pseudomonadota; Gammaproteobacteria; Enterobacterales; Enterobacteriaceae. The record is from RNAcentral. RNAcentral also lists the same sequence under 13 other names.
UCCUCUGUAGUUCAGUCGGUAGAACGGCGGACUGUUAAUCCGUAUGUCACUGGUUUGAGUCCAGUCAGAGGAGCCA